CACUGGAGGCAGCGGUUCAUCGAUCUGUUCCUGAAUUUGUUUGUGUAAUUAUUUCACAAAACAAGAAUCGGUCGAUAAACCUCUGCAUCCAGC
Molecule: microRNA precursor, 93 nt
Filed under: Trifolium pratense (red clover)
Lineage: Eukaryota; Viridiplantae; Streptophyta; Magnoliopsida; Fabales; Fabaceae
Description: pre miRNA MIR162_2
Rfam family: MIR162_1 microRNA precursor family
Source: RNAcentral